RNAcentral lists this long non-coding RNA (1047 nucleotides) under Homo sapiens (human). RNAcentral's name for it is "HSALNT0321760". The record is from RNAcentral. Lineage: Eukaryota; Metazoa; Chordata; Mammalia; Primates; Hominidae.
UUAGCUAUUACAUGUAAAGAUAACUAUCAUAUGACUAAGGAAAGCUCCCUGGAUUUUCCUAAGCAAGUAUCUUCUCUCCUUGGCUUCACUACAAGGAGAAGAUGGCAUCAGAGUAUAACGUAUUUCUCAACGCAUGCCUAAAAAACAGUCAUUCACCAUCCUGGUUAGAUAUAAGAAUCACCUGCAAAGUUCUUUCUAAAAAUAUAGGGUUUCUGUAUCUGAUAAAUCAGAACUUUUAGGGAAUGGGAGUGGGAGGGCUUAAAAAUUCUCUCAAGUAAUUCUAAUGCAUAUAAGAAUUGAUUAUGAGUCACUAGAUUCUAGAAGAAGAGAGGUCUCUUACUCUGUGAAAGACAGAGGCAGAAAGAGGAAGUCACCUUGUGAUAAUCUGGUCAUUGGGAAAGGCACAGAGAUAAGUCGAGCUAUACUUCUUACAUUAAAUACAUUUUCGUGGAUGUUUGAUGAGGGGCCAGAAAGUGUUACCCAAUGAACCUCCAUGGUACCAAAUACAAUCAAGCUUGUCCCAGGUUUCUACUGUACAAUUUCUCAUUGAAAACUGCCUCAGCAUUUUUUAAGAAGACAUCACUUCCCCCUUGGGGAAGAAAGAACUCAAUGACUUGAAGAAACUGAUGCUUCAGGUACCUUGAAAAAUUCAGCUGGUUUUGAUGAGAAACAGUCAAUGGGGCUGUUAGGGGUCCUGGCGGAUGCUUAGGCAGUGGCUGUCCUGGAUUCCAGGGAAUGCCCCAAACCCAGUGAUGCAGGACCCAGGACUCCAUCUGCUCAUUCUUCAUAAGGUUGGCUCACAGGUCAUCUGCUGAGAAGGUCAUCUUCUCCGUCUUCACUGGGCUCACUGAAUGAGGACAUUCCAAGAUCCCAGCUCAUCUCAUUUGAGCUUUCCUUUUCCUAAUCCCAUGCAUCUGUGUUUGAGAAAAUCUUCCCAAGUGAUAGAUCUUCUAUUUUCCGAUUUCUUCCAUGUUGUAUUACUUUUUUUAUUAAUAAUAAUAAAUACACAUAUUUUUGGUGUGUACAUGCAUAUUAGUCUGUUUCGUG